CAGAGUUGAUCAUGGCUCAGGAUGAACGCUAGCUACAGGCUUAACACAUGCAAGUCGAGGGGCAGCAUGAACUUAGCUUGCUAAGUUUGAUGGCGACCGGCGCACGGGUGAGUAACACGUAUCCAACCUGCCGAUGACUCGGGGAUAGCCUUUCGAAAGAAAGAUUAAUACCCGAUGGCAUAGUUCUUCCGCAUGGUGGAACUAUUAAAGAAUUUCGGUCAUCGAUGGGGAUGCGUUCCAUUAGG
RNAcentral lists this ribosomal RNA (245 nucleotides) under uncultured bacterium. RNAcentral describes it as "partial 16S ribosomal RNA". It matches the Rfam family "Bacterial small subunit ribosomal RNA", at positions 8 to 245 of the family's 1533-position model. The record is from RNAcentral.